Molecule: ribosomal RNA, 398 nt
Filed under: uncultured bacterium
Lineage: Bacteria
Description: partial 16S ribosomal RNA
Rfam family: Bacterial small subunit ribosomal RNA
Source: RNAcentral
GGAUAUUGCGCAAUGGGGGAAACCCUGACGCAGCAACGCCGCGUGAAGGAAGAAGGCCUUCGGGUUGUAAACUUCUUUGAUCGGGGACGAAGAUGACGGUACCCGAGGAACAAGCACCGGCUAACUACGUGCCAGCAGCCGCGGUAAUACGUAGGUGGCAAGCGUGGUCCGGAAUUACUGGGUGUAAAUGGCGUGUAGGCGGGGGAGCAAGUCAGAUGUGAAAUUCCUAGGCUUAACCUGGGCGCUGCAUCUGAAACUGUUUCUCUUGAGUGCUGGAGAGGAAAGUGGAAUUCCUAGUGUAGCGGUGAAAUGCGUAGAGAUUAGGAGGAACACCAGUGGCGAAGGCGGCUUUCUGGACAGUAACUGACGCUGAGGCGCGAAAGCGUGGGGAGCAAACA